AAAAGAUAAUUGUGGGUCUGUCAGACAACCCCAGGAUCGCCCCAGCCGGAUGGGAACCACCAGCUGAGAACGAUCCCCUACCGUGAGAGAACUCGAGAGAUCCCCACCGUUAAUCACGCUCCGAUCCUGAGGUCCUGAAUCAUCAAUCAGACUUUUGUGCCUGUCUCGUUAGAGUUCUAAGAGACAGUUGUACGAACCUAUAGAACAGAUCCUGUUCAAGUAAGGUCGUGCUUUGUUCUCCCGUUGGGGUUCUAAUGUACCUUGAAGAUAUCUUGGGAAUUGUGAUGUGGGACUAAGUGUCGUCGUUGUGGAUCCACUCGGCGUGUCAUCCGACGUCGUUGUCGCGAGUCCAGAUUCGUGAUUGGUGAGUGGUGCUGUGGACUGUAUCAAAAAAUGGUGCCAAUGGAUCCCGAUCGAUGGAUUUUUGUUUUUGUUUUUCGAGGUUGCUGCUUUUGAUAUUUCUCAGAUGUUUUUAUUCAUCAUAAUUCUUGAGAUAUGUUUCUAAAACACCACAUUACACCAUAUUGAUUGGUUGACAUGAUGAAUCAGUUCAUCAAUUUAGAUCGAUCACUACUGAACUAUGGAUCACUCUAAUUCUCACAUGUAACAUUUAUAGUGAUAUUUAUAAUAUAUUUGAAUAGAUUUAUAAUUUUUUUAUUGAAAAACAUUGUGAGUGAAGCAAAUGAAUACAAAACCUUAUCUAAAUCAGCUCAUACAUAAAAAUCAAUUUUUAAAUAAUUUUAAUUGUUCAUAAAUAAGAGCAACCAACUUCUAUAUCAAUUAUUUUAGUAUUUUUAACUAUGUUUACAAUAUUUUUAUCACAACUACUUUUAGCACUUCCAUCAAAACACUAUAAGCUCGCUUAUUUAGAAACACGACUACUUAAAAAAUUGAAUAUUUGAUCAAAAUGUUAUCUCUAUCUAUUCGGUUGACACUCGACUAAUAUAUCAGUUCUACUUAACUGACAUUCCAAGCUUAAGCGAUCAAUACAUCAUGCGGGGCUCAUGUAAGACUAAUAAUAUUGUACCGAAAAGAGAUUCAUACAUUUGCAUGAGAUUGAUCACAUAACGUUAAUGAUAAAUUGUUACUCUAUAUCUUUAGAUUGAUUUCAUAAUCUCAUUAAUGACCAAAUAAUAAUUCCUAUUUAACUUUGACCUCAACCCAAUAGUCACAUAUGACAUAAUAAAAGACUCAAAUAUAUUUAUAUCAUUUUGUCACGAGAUGAAUAACCAAAAUUUAUCAUAACAAUAAUAAUAUUAAUUUAAACAUAUAUAAAGUUUAAUCAUAUAUAUAACUAUAUAAUAUUAUUUUAACACAUAGGCUUUGUCAACUUUUACUUAUAUUCCAUUGACUUGUCACCUAACUGCAUCUUUACACGCAUAUUCUCUGGGAGACUUGGUUUAGGCUUCAACACCUGCAUUUAGAGUCGAAUGAUUAAGUAGAACUUGACUUUGCGCUUAAAAGCAAGUAAGGUAGUAUGCUGAUCUGACAUUCUUGGAAACUUGAUAGCUACUUAGUUCUUAUCUUAUAACAUCCUAUAUUUACUUUCAUUCAUAUCCUAUGCUGCUACCUUUUUAUUUAUCAUUGAUAUUAAAUAUAACACAUCAAUAAAGUGUACAAAUUUGAAUAUCCUAAAUUGCUAAAUAAAAUAAUAAAGUUUUCCUUAUGCAAAUUGAUAUUUAACAUCUAUACAUAGAUUAUACAAAUUAAUGUUUAACAUCUACACAUAGAUUAAUAUUUUUAGUAUAACAUUUUUAUUUUUUUAUUUAAUUAUCUAUUACUCCAUCAAUAUUGUUUACAUAUUGUUUAAACUUCAAACUUAUUUUAGACAAUCUUAUUUUAGACAUAAUCAAAACUAAUUCAAACCCGGAGAAUCACUUAUAAUCAUCAUGUAUAUAUUUAUUGUCAUGAUAUAACUUCAUAUUUAACUACACUAGUAUGGCUUAUUAAGUUGAAUGAUUUUUUUUUGUAAAAUAUCUACGUAGGUGCUGAUGCUUUUAUAUAUUUUGUUAGCAUAAAAAUUGUUAAAUUCUAUAUGUAAUACAGAAAAAAAAAUCUUUUAUGCUAGGAUUGAAAUCAAAUAAUAUUAGAUUGGUUUUACGUACCUUUUGAUGUCAUAUGAAAAUGAUCUCUAUAUGAUAUUUAAAGACAUCGUCUUUGGAUCCAAAACUAGAUUCUCCUUCUCCUCUUUUUUUAUCCUUUUACAGGACCACUUAGAUUGAUGAUUCAAAGAGGUUGAGAAAGAAACUGUAAUCUCUCAACUACGUCCUCUAUUAGAUGUGUUCUUUAGUCUUUAGAUGUCUUAUCUAUUUAUAGGAGAGAGCAGAGUGUCUAGGAUAAGUUAUUAGGAGAGUUCCUCACAUCCCUGAAUCUUACUUUGGACUUCUUUUCUAUUGGCUAAUAUCUAUCAUUAUAAUUUAAUUAGUUCUAUUAUAUAUUUUAUUUAAUUAUAAAGGGUCACAUAAUCUAAUAUUCUCCUACUUGACCAAAUAAUUGAUAAGAUAUAAAAUAUAUUCAAAAUCAAAAUAAAUAAAAUAAAAUUUAUUUGAAAAUAAUUUUAUAUAAUUGGAUUCUAAAAUUUUUUUGAAAAGUAUUUUAUACAUGACCAUGAAUUUUAAAAACAAGCCAAUAAACAUAAUAAUACUACAUUAAAUUCAACUAUCAAUGCGCGUCAUAACGGUUGUAUAUCAUCAAUGUCAUACUCUCUUCUAUAUACCACAAUAUUGUUAGUAUUUCCUAAUAUAAUUUAUAAUGACCUUUGUAAUUUAUCUUGUCAAUAUAGUCUUGUUAUUACAUUCAACUAUAAUAUGCAUAAAUAUAAAUAUAAAUAGGAUAACAAAAAUAAAUAACUUUAAUUAUGCAAAAGAAAUAGCAAUAAUAGCAUCCAUCUAAACAUGCAUUACCAUAUCUUUUAUGGCUUACUCACAAGCCUCAUUCUAGGAACAUGAUCUUUAAAUAUUUUACAUUGUAAAGCUUUAGUAAAUGGAUCAGCAAUCAUUAUGGUGCUGCUUAUAUUCUUAAUUAACACUUACUGUUUCUCGACUCUUUUUCUAACCACAAAGUACUUUAUCUCGAUGUGCUUGGAACCACUAGAGUAUUUGUCAUUCUUAAAGAAAAAAAUCUGCUACGACAUUAUUAUAAAAUAUCAUCAACGGUCUUGUAAUUGAGUCAACCACACCAGUCCUAAGAUAAAAUUUCGCAGCCAUAAAGCUUGAUUUGUAGACUCAAAGCAUGCCACAAAUUCAGCUUCCAUUAUUGAUGAUACAAUAAGUGAUUGCUUUAUAUUUUUUUAAAAAAAUUGCCCCACCAGCUAACAUGAAUACAAAUCCUGAAGUGGAUUUCUUGUUGUCGAAGUAAUUUACAAAAUCAACAUUUUAAAUAUUUAAUCACUUCAAGUUGAUCUGAUCUCCUAUAUGCGAGCAUAUAAUCUUUCGUCUCAUAUAGAUAUCUCAUUACUUUCUUUCUAGCCUUCCAAUAUUUUAUUCCUAAGUUGCUUUGAUAUUUACACCUAUAAAGAAUAUUUUUUUUUAUUUGAUUCAUUUCUAAGUCAUUUCUUGGGCACUGAUUUUGAUUGAAUUUUUCAUCUCUAGUAAUAAGUAUAUUAUUGGUUGAACAAAGUAGUAUAUUAAAUCUCUCGAAUAUAUGAUUAGUAUAUACUUUCUGAGACAUUCCUAAUAAUCAUUGAGAUCUACACAUGAAUAUCUCAAUGCCAAUAACAUAGGUUGCCUCAUUCAUAUCAGACAUCUUAAAGUUUUUUCUGAGAAAUAUCUUGGUUUCGUGCAAUAAACCAAGAUCACUAUUGGUAAAUAAAAUAUCAUCCACAUAAGACUAAUAUAAUAAAUUUGUUCUAACUUACCUUCAAAUAUAUGCACUGAUAAACAAUGUUUUUCUUAAAUCUAAAGAAAAUAAUGGUAUCAUGAAACUUUAUAUAUUAUUGUCUAAAAGCAUGUUUAAAGUCAUACAUGAAUUUCUUAAGUUUACAAACCCAACUUUCUUUUCCCUUUUGUAUGAAUCUUUCAAGUUUUUCCAUAUAUAUUUCCUCAUCAAAAUCCCCAUUCAAAAAUAUUAUUUCACAUCCAUUUGAUGUAACUUAAGAUCAUAAUGAUCUACUAAUACAAUGAUGAUUCUCAACGAGUUCUUUCUAGAAACUAGAAAAAAAGUCUCAUUAUAGUCGAUGUCUUCUUUUUUAGAAAAACCUUUGGUCACAACUCUGGCUUUAUAUCAUUCGAUAUUGUCCACUAAGUCACGGUUUAAUAACUGACUCUUUUAUAAUUAUUAAAAAAAUUAAUGAGUUCUCAAACACCAUUAUGGUCGAUUGAUUUUAUUUUAUUUUAUUUUUUAUUACAUCAUACUAUUCUUCAGAAUUAUUACUUUCUAUGGCUUGUGAAAUGAUAAGGGGUCUCAUUUUAUUCCUAUAUCAUAAUUUGAUUUUUAUAAAUAUACCAUAUAAUCAUCAAAAAUGACAUAUUUUUUUUCUUUUGAAAUCUUCUCAAAACUACCAAUUGUAAUUAUUCUACAAAAUCAUCAACGACGAUAGCAACAUCAUGUGAGAGUUUAUCGAUAAUAUUUUAUUGUUCACCCUCAUCAAUUCUUUCAUUGAUUUGAGGAACAAUAAUUUUUUGAAUAUGAGAUGAUAUAGGAGAAUUAAUUUGAAUCUUCUCAUUGUUCUAGGAAUCUUACGUUACCAGAUUCUAUUAUUCUGAUAGUAGGAACGGUGAUUACAAGAAUGCAUUCCAAAUGUAAGAUUGGAAAGAAUGUUAAGAGAAAAUUAACAUUUCCAAUUUGUAAUGAUGAGGUUUUCCCAUCUGCACAAGCACUCAGGUUAAGUGCUUCGCCCACGUUUACUUUAAACAUUGCCUGUAUACCAAUCAUGAAACCAAGGGAAUUUUUAAUUGAAUGAUUGGGAGAAGUAGCACUUGCCUGAUUGGGACCAGAUGUGGGCUAUAUAUAUAUAUAUAAAAGCUUCUUCGAGCUUUAUGGUACAAUGGAGAUGGAAGGAAUGUUCUGAUGCACUGACUGUUUGUUAAGGAGAGAAACAACAGAUGUAAUGUUUCUGGGCACAAUAUUUAUUAUUUUAAAUAAUGGGAUGAUACAACCCAACUAUUAUUAAAAAAGCAAAAAUUAUAUAUCCAUCUGAACUACAUGGAUAUAUACAAAUAUAAUUAUAUUUAUGUUUAGCAUUAGAUAUAUAUGUCUCAUUUUAACAACAAUUGAAGAUAGAUAGCAUGUCCAAUUAGCAAAAUAUGCACUUUGGCCAAGUUUUUGAUCCAUUCAAGUCCAAAAAUGUGUGUGGGUCUGUCAGACAACCCCAGGAUCGCCCCAGCCGAUGGGCACCACCAGCUGAGAACGAUCCCCUACCGUGAGAGACCUCGAGAGAUCCCCACCGUUAAUCACGCUCCGAUCCUGAGGUCCUAAUUCAUCAACCAGACUUUUGUGCCAGUCUCGUUAGAGUUCUAAAAGACAGUUGUACGAACCUUUAGAACAGAUCCUGUUCAAGUAAGGUCAUGCUCUGUUCUCCCGUUAGGGUUAUAAUAUAGCUUGAAGAUGUCUUCAGACACUGUGAUGUGGGACUAAGUGUUGUCGUUGCGGGUCCACUCGGCGAGUCAUUCGACAUUGUAAUAUAGUUUUUGAUACAUGAAAGUCCAAAAAAAGUGUGUGGGUCUGUCAGACAACCCCAGGAUCGCCCCAGCCGAUGCGGCAACAACAGCUGAGAACGAUCCCCUACUGUGAGAGACCUCAAGAGAUUCCCACCGUUAAUCACGCUCCGAUCCCGAGGUCCUGAAUCAUCAACCAGACUUUGGUGCCUAUCUCGUUAGAGUUCUAAGAGACAGUUGUACGAACCUAUAGAACAGAUCCUGUUCAAGUAAGGUCGUG
RNAcentral lists this long non-coding RNA (5874 nucleotides) under Musa acuminata (dwarf banana). RNAcentral's name for it is "long non-coding RNA (MACU_LNC005920)". The record is from RNAcentral. Lineage: Eukaryota; Viridiplantae; Streptophyta; Magnoliopsida; Zingiberales; Musaceae.